RNAcentral lists this ribosomal RNA (745 nucleotides) under uncultured Anaerococcus sp. Its description in RNAcentral is "bacterial SSU rRNA". It matches the Rfam family "Bacterial small subunit ribosomal RNA", at positions 28 to 776 of the family's 1533-position model. Lineage: Bacteria; Bacillati; Bacillota; Tissierellia; Tissierellales; Peptoniphilaceae. The record is from RNAcentral.
GAUAAACGCAGGCGGCGUGCAUAACACAUGCAAGUCGAACGAUGAAACUUAGCUGAUUUCUUCGGAAUGAAAUUAAGUGGAUUAGUGGCGAACGGGUGAGUAACACGUGAGUAACCUGCCUUACACAAGGGGAUAGCCUUUGGAAACGAAGAAUAAUACCCUAUGACGUCAAAAUAUCGCAUGAUAUAGUGACCAAAGAUUUAUCGGUGUAAGAUGGACUUGCGUCUGAUUAGCUAGUUGGUGAGAUAAAAGCCCACCAAGGCGACGAUCAGUAGCCGGCUUGAGAGAGUGUACGGCCACAUUGGGACUGAGACACGGCCCAAACUCCUACGGGAGGCAGCAGUGGGGAAUUUUGCACAAUGGGGGAAACCCUGAUGCAGCGACGCCGCGUGAUUUAGAAGGCCUUCGGGUUGUAAAAAUCUUUUUUAUGGGAUGAAAAUGACAGUACCAUAAGAAUAAGGUCCGGCUAAAUACGUGCCAGCAGCCGCGGUAAUACGUAUGGACCGAGCGUUGUCCGGAAUCAUUGGGCGUAAAGGGUACGUAGGCGGCCUAGUAAGUUAGAAGUGAAAUAAUAUAGCUCAACUAUAUAAAGCUUUUAAAACUGUUAGGCUUGAGAGAUGAAAGGGAAAGUGGAAUUCCUAGUGUAGCGGUGAAAUGCGCAGAUAUUAGGAAGAAUACCGGUGGCGAAGGCGACUUUCUGGUCAUCAUCUGACGCUGAGGUACGAAAGCGUGGGUAGCAAACAGG